UUUAUAACCUCUUUCUGCAAACGCCUUGGAUUUUCUUUUGGCUUCAUGUUGUUCAUUAGAAUAAUAGCCUUUUCAUCUUAUUUAAAGAACAUCCAAGGUGUUUGUAGAAAAAGGUUUCAAA
Molecule: microRNA precursor, 121 nt
Filed under: Arabidopsis thaliana (thale cress)
Lineage: Eukaryota; Viridiplantae; Streptophyta; Magnoliopsida; Brassicales; Brassicaceae
Description: miR2934 stem-loop (ath-MIR2934)
Rfam family: MIR2934 microRNA precursor family
Source: miRBase by way of RNAcentral